GGUCGCGUGGCCUAAUGGUUAAGGUGAGCCCUCUCUCAUCAUAACAAUAUUGAUCAAGGUCUGAUUUACGUCAAGGCGUUGGUUUUCGGCACCAAAGAUUUGUGCGUUCGAAUCGCACCGUGAUCG
Molecule: transfer RNA, 126 nt
Filed under: Alectoria sarmentosa
Lineage: Eukaryota; Fungi; Ascomycota; Lecanoromycetes; Lecanorales; Parmeliaceae
Description: tRNA-Glu
Rfam family: tRNA (bases 52-126)
About the family: Transfer RNA (tRNA) molecules are approximately 80 nucleotides in length.
Source: RNAcentral